RNAcentral lists this ribosomal RNA (490 nucleotides) under uncultured bacterium. RNAcentral describes it as "partial 16S ribosomal RNA". It matches the Rfam family "Bacterial small subunit ribosomal RNA", at positions 30 to 507 of the family's 1533-position model. The record is from RNAcentral.
AUUGAACGCUGGCGGCAGGCCUAACACAUGCAAGUCGAACGGUAACAGGAAGAAGCUUGCUUCUUUGCUGACGAGUGGCGGACGGGUGAGUAAUGUCUGGGAAACUGCCUGAUGGAGAGGGAUAACUACUGGAAACGGUAGCUAAUACCGCAUAACGUCGCAAGACCAAAGAGGGGGACCUUCGGGCCUCUUGCCAUCGGAUGUGCCCAGAUGGGAUUAGCUAGUAGGUGGGGUAACGGCUCACCUAGGCGACGAUCCCUAGCUGGUCUGAGAGGAUGACCAGCCACACUGGAACUGAGACACGGUCCAGACUCCUACGGGAGGCAGCAGUGGGGAAUAUUGCACAAUGGGCGCAAGCCUGAUGCAGCCAUGCCGCGUGUAUGAAGAAGGCCCUCGGGUUGUAAAGUACUUUCAGCGGGGAGGAAGGGAGUAAAGUUAAUACCUUUGCUCAUUGACGUUACCCGCAGAAGAAGCACCGGCUAACUCCGUG